This is an unclassified non-coding RNA of Parus major (Great Tit), 184 nucleotides long. The record is from Ensembl. Lineage: Eukaryota; Metazoa; Chordata; Aves; Passeriformes; Paridae.
UUGACAGCCAUGGAGAUUGUGGAGAUCGGAAUUUUAUUUAUCCCUAGAGAAAGUGCAGUGCAGACUGCAGUAGUGCAAAAAUUUCCUGUAUUAUUUUGCUGUUACACCCUACCUGUGCCCUUCACAGGCAGCCUCUUGGGGUGAGGAGCUCCUUUCUCUGCAGCCCUUCAGAGAGCUGGCUGAC